Molecule: ribosomal RNA, 253 nt
Filed under: uncultured bacterium
Lineage: Bacteria
Description: partial 16S ribosomal RNA
Rfam family: Bacterial small subunit ribosomal RNA
Source: RNAcentral
UACGGAGGGUGCAAGCGUUAUCCGGAUUCACUGGGUUUAAAGGGUGCGUAGGUGGGCAAGUAAGUCAGUGGUGAAAUCUCCGGGCUUAACCCGGAAACUGCCAUUGAUACUAUUUGUCUUGAAUACUGUGGAGGUCAGCGGAAUAUGUCAUGUAGCGGUGAAAUGCUUAGAUAUCAGGUGGAACACCAGUGGCGAAGGCGGUGUUCUGGGCCAGUACUGACGCUGAGGCGCGAAAGCGUGGGGAGCGAACAGG